This is a long non-coding RNA of Macaca fascicularis (crab-eating macaque), 2272 nucleotides long. The record is from Ensembl. NCBI's taxonomy places the organism in Eukaryota, Metazoa, Chordata, Mammalia, Primates, Cercopithecidae.
CCCCGCUGCGGAGGCGGCUCGUCCUCCUCGGACUCCGAGGCGUAGUCGUACUCGCGGAGCCUGCGGUCCUCGGCACCGGGCUGGGGCCUCUCCGCCGCCAGCGAGCUGCGCCUGCCCGUCUGCCGCCCCAGCCCCAGCCGCCGGUAGCGCUUGUUCUUCUGCUGCACGAUUUUCAGGAUGAGCUCCUUGCCCCAGAUUAACCGAGCAUGGAGACAUUGCUGUGAAUGAGACAGACUGACAGACAGCCCUUCCUGCUCCCCACUCCGGCCGCAUGCUGACAUCCCCGGGGCCCAGUCUGGGGCAAUUCUAGGACGGAACAAAGGUCCCUGACUCUGGCUGGGUCUGGGCUGCUGUGCCCAGGAAACGUCAAGGGUUUCUGGAACUGCCAUCGAAGCAGGAAAAGCCUUCACUGGCAAAGACCUCAUGAGCUCCGAUGCAGCAGCUCAGAGAGGUUAAGCGAGAUGCGGUUAGCUAAGAGGAGUCACACUGGAUUACGGGGGCUCUACAUCCAAAGACAUGUGUCCUUAGGAGAGGCCCGUGAAGAGAAGACAGACACAGGAGGAGGCCACGCGAAGACGGAGUAAGGUGGCCACGAGCCAGGAAUGCCUGGGACCUCCAGGGGCUGGAGGAGGAGGAGGUGGGAGGGACCUUCUCCAGGGGCCUGAGCAGGAGGUGGCCUUGCCCACACCUGUCAGGUCAUCGCUUCACUGCAAACUUCACCACGAACUGCACCGUGAACUUCACCGUGACCACGUGACCUGCACUGUCAACGGCAUCAUAGACGCCACUGUGAACUGUGUGACCUGCCCCGUGAACUUCACCGUGAACAGUUGGGCUUCCCUGAUCUGCUAAGUCGCCUUCCUUUCCCCACCCCCACAUCCAAUCCAUCAGCAGCUCUGCCUUCUAGAACCCAGCCUUUUCUAGUAUCUGUUCUGAACCCCCUGACUCUCAUCUCCCACUGGACACCUGGCAUCCCCUUCCUGGGCUCUGCUGCACACCCUGCUUCACCAUCAUCCAGCAGCCAGAGCCGGCCUGGAAGACCUGCGCUGGGCCCACCCCCCAGAGCCCUCGAACGCCCUGCCCUGCCCUGCCCCUGCCAGAUGGCCACCGCACCUGUUGCACUCAGGCCUCCACUCACAGGCCACUGAGUGAAGACCUCUGAUCACCCUGCCCAAGCUGCCUGGACGCCCUGCCCGCACACCCUGCUUCACCAUCAUCCAGCAGCCAGAGCCGGCCUGGAAGACCUGCGCUGGGCCCACCCCCCAGAGCCCUCGAACGCCCUGCCCUGCCCUGCCCCUGCCAGAUGGCCACCGCACCUGUUGCACUCAGGCCUCCACUCACAGGCCACUGAGUGAGGACCUCUGAUCACCCUGCCCAAGCUGCCUGGACGCCCUGCCCGCACAUGUGGGCCCCGGCCUGCUUUUCUGAGCUUUGUUUGCAUUUUCCUCACGCAGUGCUGCAUACGUGUGAACACAUGCAUUUUGCAUCUCCAUUCAAAAGGUGUGCAUCUCCAUGGGGUGCACAUGGCCUAUGAGGAGAGUGUCCUCCACCCUGAACACCCAGGACCCCUCCCCGGCUGGCCCCUGCCCCUGGUGAGGGUCUCUUCCUCCCACACUCCCAACUGCUGCCCUGUGCACGUGGGUGACCCGCCUGUGUCCUGGUUGCUGUCCCGAGGACACAGGUGACUGGCCUGUGUCCUGGCUGCUGCCCUGAGGACUCGAGUGACCAGCCUCUGUCCCAGCUGCUGCCCUCCCACUUUCACGUUUGUCCAGCCGUGCUCAGUCUCUGUUCAUCCUCCAGUUCUUGAGUGUCUCUGAGGGAAGGAUGGACAUCCUGCCUCUACCUCCAUUUCACAGCUGGCCCAAAGAGACCCCAUCAUCAUCGCCUCUUUGCAGGUGGGGAAACUGAGUCACCAUGAGGUCAGGAACUGGCCCUCCCCGAAUGCUGACCUGAGCCUGGACACAUCACAUCACAGGUGGGAGAGCCCCCAACUCCAGGCCACACUCCCGGGGUCUCUGGUCCCAUGACCCUCCCCACAGCAGAGGGGACCCCAGGGAGAAGCUUCCUUGCAGGCCCAGCCCCAACCCCAUCUCCCCUGCAGCUAGGGAGGGUCCCCUGCUGGGCUGACCUUCAGCCCACACAAGCCCCAGCUGCUGGCUUCAGUGAGGCUGGAUAGGAUACAACAGAAAACCCCUCCCUCCGCGCUUCCCUGGGAGUGUUUUUCUUUCAUCAUUUGGAGAAAAAGUAGGGAAGAAAUGAAGAAAGAGGGAUA